CAGUCGCCGCGGUAAUACGAAGGGUGCAAGCGUUACUCGGAAUUACUGGGCGUAAAGCGUGCGUAGGUGGUGGCUUAAGUCCGUUGUGAAAGCCCUGGGCUCAACCUGGGAAUUGCAGUGGAUACUGGGUCACUAGAGUGUGGUAGAGGAUAGUGGAAUUUCCGGUGUAGCAGUGAAAUGCGUAGAGAUCGGAAGGAACAUCUGUGGCGAAGGCGACUAUCUGGGCCAACACUGACACUGAGGCACGAAAGCGUGGGGAGCAAACAGGAUUAGAUACCCCCGUAGUCCCUGUCUCUUAUAC
This 301-nucleotide ribosomal RNA is filed under the name uncultured bacterium. RNAcentral's name for it is "partial 16S ribosomal RNA". It matches the Rfam family "Bacterial small subunit ribosomal RNA", at positions 509 to 807 of the family's 1533-position model. The record is from RNAcentral.